RNAcentral lists this ribosomal RNA (839 nucleotides) under Kalmusia ebuli. RNAcentral describes it as "eukaryotic LSU rRNA". It matches the Rfam family "Eukaryotic large subunit ribosomal RNA", at positions 81 to 939 of the family's 3401-position model. Lineage: Eukaryota; Fungi; Ascomycota; Dothideomycetes; Pleosporales; Didymosphaeriaceae. The record is from RNAcentral.
UAGUAACGGCGAGUGAAGCGGCAACAGCUCAAAUUUGAAAUCUGGCUCCUUUGGGGUCCGAGUUGUAAUUUGCAGAGGGUGCUUUGGCAUCGGCGGCGGUCUAAGUUCCUUGGAACAGGACAUCGCAGAGGGUGAGAAUCCCGUACGUGGGCGCCUGCCUUUGCCGUGUAAAGCCCCUUCGACGAGUCGAGUUGUUUGGGAAUGCAGCUCUAAAUGGGAGGUAAAUUUCUUCUAAAGCUAAAUACCGGCCAGAGACCGAUAGCGCACAAGUAGAGUGAUCGAAAGAUGAAAAGUACUUUGGAAAGAGAGUCAAAUAGCACGUGAAAUUGUUGAAAGGGAAGCGCUUGCAGCCAGACUUGCCCGUAGUUGCUCACCCAGGCUCCGGCCUGGGGCACUCUUCUGCGGGCAGGCCAGCAUCAGUUUGGGCGGUUGGAUAAAGGCCUCUGUCACGUAUCUCCCUUCGGGGUGACCUUAUAGGGGAGGCGCAAUGCAACCAGCCCGGACUGAGGUCCGCGCAUCUGCUAGGAUGCUGGCGUAAUGGCUGUAAGCGGCCCGUCUUGAAACACGGACCAAGGAGUCUAACAUCUAUGCGAGUGUUUGGGUGUCAAGCCCGGGCGCGUAAUGAAAGUGAACGGAGGUGGGAACCCUUUGGGUGCACCAUCGACCGAUCCUGAUGUCUUCGGAUGGAUUUGAGUAAGAGCAUAGCUGUUGGGACCCGAAAGAUGGUGAACUAUGCUUGAAUAGGGUGAAGCCAGAGGAAACUCUGGUGGAGGCUCGCAGCGGUUCUGACGUGCAAAUCGAUCGUCAAAUUUGGGCAUAGGGGCGAAAGACUAAUCGAA